UUUGUUAAUAUUACUGAUCUUUUUUUGAUAAUACUUAUUUCUUUGCAGACUGGAUACUAGCACAGACCACCUGUCCAAGAAGGAUUCUUUGUCAGCAGAUGGUGCCUAUGUGUGAGCAGCCAAGUCCUGGAAGAUCAAGGGCUCAGAGGGGCAAGAAACUCAAGGAUACCAUGACAACUGGGAGGAGCUGGAGGUCUAUUAAUGGUUGGGUGACUUGGAUCGCAGAUGAUGGAGAAACCUCUCGAGCCAUAAUUAUACAUAAUCACACGACUUUAAGAUAUGGGAAGCCUGAAAAUGCAGCUGCGUGAACAUACUACAUACAACAAGCAAAAAGGACACAAUGAUUUUUGCAUCAGUCGUACUCUGGCAUUUGUGGGUUUUUUCCCCCAAAGGGGGGGGCUAUUUCUGUCUUUAAAAUUGGCAUUUGUCUUACCAUUUCAGUACAGUAACUCCUCACUUAAAGUCGUCCCAGUUAAUGUCUUACAUUGCUGAUCAAUUAGGGAACAUGCUUGUUUAAAGUUGGGCAAUGUUCCCUUUUAACAUUGUUUGACAGAUGCCUGCUUGCAGAAAGAGCAGCCCUUUGCAGCUAGCUGGUGGGGGCUUGGAACCAGGGUGGACCAGCUGCCCCCCAUCAGCUCCCCGCUCCCCUA
This is a long non-coding RNA of Chelonia mydas (Green sea turtle), 650 nucleotides long. RefSeq lists it as uncharacterized. The record is from RefSeq and is a predicted model, not a curated record. Lineage: Eukaryota; Metazoa; Chordata; Testudines; Cheloniidae. The transcript is spliced from 3 exons.